RNAcentral lists this transfer RNA (87 nucleotides) under mine drainage metagenome. Its description in RNAcentral is "tRNA-Ile". It matches the Rfam family "tRNA". From Rfam's summary of the family: Transfer RNA (tRNA) molecules are approximately 80 nucleotides in length. The record is from RNAcentral.
GCGGGGAUGGCUCAGAACGGUGACGGCGGCCGGCUUAUGACCGGCUGUUCCGACAGGAACACGCGGGUUCGAAUCCCGCUCCCCGCG